CAGUCGAGGGGCAUCGGGAGGGAAGCUUGCUUUCCUUGCCGGCGACCGGCGCUCGGGUGAGUAACACGUAUGCAACCUGCCCUCUUCAGGGGGACAACCUUCCGAAAGGGAGGCUAAUCCCGCGUAUAUCGGUUUCGGGCAUCCGUUAUCGAGGAAAGAUUCAUCGGAAGAGGAUGGGCAUGCGGCGCAUUAGCUUGACGGCGGGGUAACGGCCCACCGUGGCGACGAUGCGUAGGGGUUCUGAGAGGAAGGUCCCCCACACUGGUACUGAGACACGGACCAGACUCCUACGGGAGGCAGCAGUGAGGAAUAUUGGUCAAUGGGAGAGAUCCUGAACCAGCCAAGCCGCGUGAGGGAAGACGGCCCUAUGGGUUGUAAACCUCUUUUGUCGGAGAACAAAACCCGGGACGUGUCCCGGACUGCGUGUAUCCGAAGAAAAAGCAUCGGCUAACUCCGUGCCAGCAGCCGCGGUAAUACGGAGGAUGCGAGCGUUAUCCGGAUUUAUUGGGUUUAAAGGGUGCGUAGGCGGUCCGUUAAGUCAGCGGUAAAAUUGCGGGGCUCAACCCCGUCGAGCCGUUGAAACUGGCAGACUUGAGUUGGCGAGAAGUACGCGGAAUGCGCGGUGUAGCGGUGAAAUGCAUAGAUAUCACGAAGAACUCCGAUUGCGAAGGCAGCUUACCAGUCUGCGACUGACGCUCAGGCACGAAAGUGUGGGUAUCGAACAGGAUUAGAUACCCUGGUAGUCCACACAGUAAACGAUGAGCGCUAGGUGUCCGGGUCGCAUGAGACUUGGGUGCCCGAGCGAAAGCGUU
Molecule: ribosomal RNA, 812 nt
Filed under: uncultured bacterium
Lineage: Bacteria
Description: bacterial SSU rRNA
Rfam family: Bacterial small subunit ribosomal RNA
Source: RNAcentral